GACGAACGCUGGCGGCGUGCUUAACACAUGCAAGUCGAACGGAAAGGCCCUGCUUUUGUGGGGUGCUCGAGUGGCGAACGGGUGAGUAACACGUGAGUAACCUGCUCUUGACUUUGGGAUAACUUCAGGAAACUGGGGCUAAUACCGGAUAGGAGCUCCCGCUGCGUGGUGGGGGUUGGAAAGUUUCGGCGGUUGGGGAUGGACUCGCGGCUUAUCAGCUUGUUGGUGGGGUAGUGGCUUACCAAGGCUUUGACGGGUAGCCGGCCUGAGAGGGUGACCGGCCACAUUGGGACUGAGAUACGGCCCAGACUCCUACGGGAGGCAGCAGUGGGGAAUAUUGCACAAUGGGCGGAAGCCUGAUGCAGCAACGCCGCGUGCGGGAUGACGGCCUUCGGGUUGUAAACCGCUUUCGCCUGUGACGAAGCGUGAGUGACGGUAAUGGGUAAAGAAGCACCGGCUAACUACGUG
RNAcentral lists this ribosomal RNA (468 nucleotides) under uncultured bacterium. RNAcentral describes it as "partial 16S ribosomal RNA". It matches the Rfam family "Bacterial small subunit ribosomal RNA", at positions 28 to 507 of the family's 1533-position model. The record is from RNAcentral.